AUUGCUUCUCGGCCUUUUGGCUAAGAUCAAGUGGAGAAUGUUCUAGAAGCCAGAACACCAUGUACAAUGGUGAAACCAUCUAAUUAUUUUUGAGAUUUCCAUACAUGCCUUAGGCUGACUUAAACUCUUUGGGGUUUUUUGUUUGUUUAGAUUUGUUUUGUUUGUUUGAGACAGGGUUUCUCU
Molecule: non-coding RNA, 183 nt
Organism: Mus musculus (house mouse)
Lineage: Eukaryota; Metazoa; Chordata; Mammalia; Rodentia; Muridae
Source: Rfam